UACGUAGGGGGCAAGCGUUAUCCGGAUUUACUGGGUGUAAAGGGAGUGUAGGUGGUUUUGCAAGUCUGAUGUGAAAGCCCGGGGCUUAACCCCGUGGAUUGCAUUGGAAACUGUAGAACUAGAGUGUUGGAGAGGCAAGUGGAAUUCCUAGUGUAGCGGUGAAAUGCGUAGAUAUUAGGAGGAACACCAGUGGCGAAGGCGGCUUGCUGGACAAUCACUGACACUGAGGCUCGAAAGCGUGGGGAGCAAA
RNAcentral lists this ribosomal RNA (250 nucleotides) under uncultured prokaryote. RNAcentral describes it as "partial 16S ribosomal RNA". It matches the Rfam family "Bacterial small subunit ribosomal RNA", at positions 524 to 772 of the family's 1533-position model. The record is from RNAcentral.